RNAcentral lists this transfer RNA (74 nucleotides) under Patulibacter sp. Its description in RNAcentral is "tRNA-Val". It matches the Rfam family "tRNA". Rfam says of the family: Transfer RNA (tRNA) molecules are approximately 80 nucleotides in length. RNAcentral also lists the same sequence under 2 other names. Lineage: Bacteria; Bacillati; Actinomycetota; Thermoleophilia; Solirubrobacterales; Patulibacteraceae. The record is from RNAcentral.
GGGCGUAUAGCUCAGUUGGUUAGAGCGCUCGCUUCACACGCGAGAGGUCCUCAGUUCGAGUCUGAGUAUGCCCA